UCGUAUCAUAAUAAUAUACACAACAUCACCCUCUAUGCUUUACUCUCUUUUUUCAAUAGUCAAUGCAUAUCGAUACAGAAUGGUACAUCGUGUAGUGUGGAAGGGCCAACCCUCAAAUGUUCAAGUACAGAGGAAACUCAAGGUUUCUAAGGAAGGGCUCAUAGGAGAGGGGCAGAACUUAGAGUCUAAGAGUAAGUGUAAGUGCAGUAGAGGGGAAAUGGCAAGCUGGUGGUCAUGCCUAGAAAUUUGGGAUGUCGGAACACCCAUGACCAGUCUGUCAGUUUUAAAUUGUUGAGUUAGGACCUGUAAAAGGACAGGUUCAGCCCUGGACAACCAUUUGGAUGAUGCCAAACCAUGAACUUUAACUCAACAUACAAAGGGAAGUGGGAAAUGAGAAUUUAUAAUAGAAGCAGGAUGCAAGAAAAGAGUAGGCAAAGGGCAUUCUCAGCAAUGAGACAUACUGGCACACCCUCCAGUGUACUUAGGGGUUGGGGGGUCAAAAACUCAGUUCAUGGACAAAAAUUCUUAUUCCCAUGCCCUGAGUCCCCACUUACAAACACAUAUAUGGGGUAAUGGGAUGGGGAGCAAAUGUUCACAAGAAAGAGAAGAAAGCAGUAUCAUAUAAGCAUGUUAAGUUCAAUGUUAAAUUCAGUAGAAAAUAUAAAUAGAUGCAAAGACCGCAAGUAAACACAUUGGGAUGAUGCUGAGAAUCAAAUUAAGACAUACCAGUUUUAAAGAGACAAGCAAAGAGAAAGAAGUAGUCUUGUGAAAGCCAAAGUGCAGAUAAGAAUACUUUUUAGUGAAAGUUCAGAAGAGAUUGUGAAAAUGAUAAGUGUAAAGUCUGAAGUGUAUUCAGUUGUGUGUUGUGAAAGAGAAAGAGUCGUGUAUUUAUAGUGUAGAAAGAAAGCAGGAACAAGGUAAGAAAUAAUUUAAAAACUGAUUGCUAAUCAAUUACAGAACCUCCCUUAAUUAAGGGAUUCAGAUUCAAACGAGCAUAAACUAGUUAAGGAAAUAAAUUAAUCAAACUCUCUGCAAAGUAGCAAAUUAGGGGCAAGUACAUAAAAGUUAUUUAAGGGCAGGGUUUUGACAGUACACGAUUGUAUAAUUAAGGAAAGAGAAUCUAUUAACAACCAAGAAAUUAGAAGUCCAAAUAUUUAGUGUGAAUGAAUCCAUUUAGAAAAGGUGAAGAAAUGGUUUUACUUAAGGAAAAUCAAACAAUCAAUUAAAUCUAAAAAAAGGAUUCUGAUUCAUUUAUAAAUUGGAAUACCUUUUGAAGAAAGAUUCAACACACAUAUAAAAGCAUACAGACACGCUUAUACACGAAGAAUGAUCAUGUCAAUGAGUUGAAGAGUCUAGCGUAGAAAAGUUCAGAAUUGUAUGUAAGCAAAGAAGUUCAACUUAGUUCAAAGGUUCAAAAUUAGUCUAAAAGAGUCGAGGUUUCUAAAAUAGAACCCUAGUUCAAUCACAUGACCAAACCCCGACAGAACCCUCAAUUCUAGGGUUUCCACCUCGAGUCAAGUGUAGAGAUGAGGAAGCAAGUAGUUAAAGAUAGGCUCAGAGAUUUCUUUCAGAAAUUCAUAAGAAAACAAACAAAAUACAGUUUCAGGUUCAAAGCAAACAAAGUGAAGAAACUAAUUCAAAGCAUAAUGAGAGUAGAAGAAACAGUAGAGGGAAACACUCUUAAACGGGUCCUUUAGAAGGAACUUAAAUCAAGGUAAAGUAUAAGUGAAACAACAAAACCCUUAAGAACAUGGUAGAAGGAUAAAGUAGGUGAAACAUAUCAAAUCAUAGUGGCAGAAAAAUAGUAGAACAUAGUGAGAAAGCAUGUGAGAUCAUAGCAUAGAAAACACAGUAGAAGAAAAGAACGAAUAUAAAAAACACAAUAAAAGAACAUGUAUGGUAUAAAGGAAACAUAAGAACAUAGCGGAGACAAAUACACACAAAGAAAAGUCAGAGAAACAUUUUAACCAUUUCAGAAAACCCUAAAUUGAAAAAGAAGCGAUUUUAAGAGUAAUCUUAGAAAGAAACGUUGUGGA
Molecule: long non-coding RNA, 2036 nt
Filed under: Nicotiana benthamiana
Lineage: Eukaryota; Viridiplantae; Streptophyta; Magnoliopsida; Solanales; Solanaceae
Description: long non-coding RNA (NBEN_LNC040518)
Source: RNAcentral